GACGAACGCUGGCGGCGUGCUUAACACAUGCAAGUCGAACGGAAAGGCCCUGCUUUUGUGGGGUGCUCGAGUGGCGAACGGGUGAGUAACACGUGAGUAACCUGCCCUUGACUUUGGGAUAACUUCAGGAAACUGGGGCUAAUACCGGAUAGGAGCUCCUGCUGCAUGGUGGGGGUUGGAAAGUUUCGGCGGUUGGGGAUGGACUCGCGGCUUAUCAGCUUGUUGGUGGGGUAGUGGCUUACCAAGGCUUUGACGGGUAGCCGGCCUGAGAGGGUGACCGGCCACAGUGGGCUAGAGGAGGGGGCCGGAGGGAAACGGCGGCCAGGGGGGGGAAUUUUGGCAAAAGGGGCGGAGGCCGGGGAGAAGAGCCCCGGGUGGGGAAGCGCGGCUUUGGGUGGAGAACGAGCUUGCGCGUGGAAAGAACGGGGAGUGACGGUAGGGGAUAAGAAAGCCCCGGCUAACUACGUG
RNAcentral lists this ribosomal RNA (468 nucleotides) under uncultured bacterium. RNAcentral describes it as "partial 16S ribosomal RNA". It matches the Rfam family "Bacterial small subunit ribosomal RNA", at positions 28 to 507 of the family's 1533-position model. The record is from RNAcentral.